Haliaeetus leucocephalus (bald eagle) is the source of this 4412-nucleotide RNA transcript. It is a transcript of the gene named far upstream element (FUSE) binding protein 1, with no coding region annotated. The record is from RefSeq and is a predicted model, not a curated record. The transcript is spliced from 22 exons. Lineage: Eukaryota; Metazoa; Chordata; Aves; Accipitriformes; Accipitridae.
CCCUCCCCGAGCACGAUGCCGCGCAGGAAUGUGAAAGGCUCCCGCUCGCCGCCAUUUUCUUUCUUUCUUGGCAGGCAGCGAGUGGGGCAGGAAGCGGUGGCCGAGCGAGUAUGGCGGACUAUUCCACGGUGCCCCCUCCUGCUUCGGGCGCUCCCGGGGGAGGCGGCGGUGGAGGUGGAGGAGUGAACGAUGCCUUUAAAGACGCGCUGCAGAGGGCUAGGCAGAUUGCAGCAAAAAUUGGAGGAGAUGCUGGCACAUCAAUGAAUUCAAACGACUACGGUUAUGGAGGACAAAAAAGACCUCUUGAGGAUGGAGAUCAACCAGAUGCUAAGAAAGUUGCUCCUCAGAAUGACUCUUUUGGAAAUCAGCUACCACCGAUGCAUCAACAGCAAAGGUCUGUGAUGACAGAGGAGUACAAAGUUCCAGAUGGGAUGGUUGGAUUUAUAAUUGGCAGAGGUGGAGAGCAGAUCUCACGCAUACAGCAAGAGUCUGGCUGUAAAAUACAGAUUGCACCAGAUAGUGGAGGCCUGCCCGAAAGAUCAUGUAUGCUAACUGGAACACCAGAGUCUGUUCAAUCAGCAAAAAGAUUACUUGAUCAGAUAGUUGAAAAGGGAAGACCUGCACCUGGCUUUCAUCAUGGUGAUGGACCUGGAAAUGCAGUCCAAGAAAUUAUGAUUCCAGCAAGUAAAGCAGGAUUAGUUAUUGGAAAAGGUGGAGAGACAAUUAAACAAUUACAGGAGCGGGCAGGUGUCAAAAUGGUCAUGAUUCAAGAUGGUCCACAGAACACUGGUGCAGACAAGCCCCUUAGGAUAACUGGAGACCCUUAUAAAGUUCAACAAGCCAAGGAAAUGGUGCUGGAGUUAAUUCGUGAUCAAGGUGGCUUUAGAGAGGUGCGCAACGAAUAUGGGUCAAGAAUAGGAGGAAAUGAAGGGAUAGACGUUCCAAUACCACGAUUUGCUGUAGGUAUUGUAAUUGGAAGAAAUGGAGAGAUGAUAAAAAAGAUACAGAAUGAUGCUGGUGUUAGGAUCCAGUUUAAGCCAGAUGAUGGAACAACUCCAGAUAGAAUAGCCCAAAUCACAGGGCCUCCUGACAGAUGUCAGCAUGCUGCAGAAAUUAUUACAGAUCUCCUUCGAAGUGUUCAGGCUGGUAACCCUGGUGGACCAGGACCUGGUGGUCGAGGAAGGGGUAGAGGCCAAGGCAACUGGAACAUGGGGCCUCCUGGUGGAUUACAGGAAUUCAAUUUUAUUGUUCCCACUGGCAAAACUGGAUUAAUCAUUGGCAAAGGUGGUGAAACUAUUAAAAGCAUAAGCCAGCAGUCUGGUGCUAGAAUAGAACUUCAAAGAAAUCCUCCACCUAAUGCGGAUCCAAACAUGAAGAUGUUUACUAUCCGUGGAACACCCCAGCAAAUAGAUUAUGCACGACAACUUAUAGAGGAAAAGAUUGGCGGUCCAGUAAAUCCAUUGGGUCCACCUGUUCCCCAUGGACCCCAUGGUGUUGUUCCUGGCCCACAUGGACCUCCUGGGCCACCCGGUCCUGGUGCUCCCAUGGGACCGUAUAACCCAGCUCCUUAUAAUCCAGGGCCUCCUGGCCCUGCACCUCAUGGUCCUCCAGCUCCAUAUGCUCCACAAGGAUGGGGAAAUGCUUAUCCGCACUGGCAGCCACCAAAUCCGCCAGAUCCAGGUAAGCCAGGAACAGAUCCCAAUUCAGCAGCGUGGGCAGCUUAUUAUGCUCACUACUAUCAGCAGCAAGCACAGCCACCACCUGCAGCCCCUCCUGGUGGACCAGCUACAACCCAAACUAAUGGACAAGGAGAUCAGCCAAAUCCAGCACCAGCAGGGCAGGUUGACUAUACCAAGGCCUGGGAAGAGUACUACAAAAAAAUGGGUCAAGCAGUUCCUGCCCCUGCUGGGGCUCCGCCAGGUGGUCAGCCAGAUUACAGUGCAGCAUGGGCUGAGUACUACAGGCAACAGGCAGCAUAUUACGCCCAGACAAGUCCACAGGGAAUGCCACAACAUCCUCCAGCACCACAGGUUUGAUCCAGCCAGUAUAGAACUAGCUCUAUAGGGGUGAGGAGGACUGUGCUGUGUAUCAUCCUUGAUUGUUCCUUCAAGGAGCAUUGCACUUACUCCUGAGACAGCUGUAUUAUUCAGUGUUUUAAAGUAUGCAUAUCGUAAUAUUGAAGUCUUUGGAACCACUUGUUAGACAGAAGUUGUAUUUGUCUUCAGAUAGUUUGCAGAUAUGUAGUGAUGUAGGUAUGUUUUAAAUAAUUCUAUGACUGUUACUUGCUUUAUCUUUUGGAACACCAUAUUGUUGCUUUGAGAAUAAAUUUUUUUAGGGUGGCUGCACAGAGAAUUAGAAGUUAAGGCUUGAAAAUUGAAGUAGUUUAUUCAGGUAAUUAGCAAUGUAUGUAUUGUGCUGUAGAAAUAGAAGGAAUUAUUUUUAUCCCUUCUAAAAUUAGGAAUUAUUUUGGUAGCUUAAAAAAGGCUAGGACGGUAUUUGCUAUCUUUAGUGUAGGGUAUGAAGUUUAAUAGUUCAGAUAUUUUGCAUGGUAUUUUAUAGAUAACCUUAUAGAAUGGUGCAUUUACUAUGUACUAAACUGAGCAAAAUUAAAUUCACUGGAUUCUUUAUCAUUCACAAAAUGGAGGCUGUUGAUUUUGAUUCAUUUAAGGUAUAAAAUCUUUAUUAAUUGCAAACAGUGCAAUUAUUUAUACUUCACAGUGCCUUCCCUGACCUUCCACCUUAGGUUCUGCUGCAAAAAAGCAACAGUGCUGAAGAUGCUGCAAGCACCAAAUCAUAGCUCAUAGAAUCAGGUCCUGAGAUAGUUACUACCAGUAAAGAGGAAUCCUUUGAGUGUAUGCCAUUGGUGAGCCGAUGAGCAUGGACCAUAGAAGGGCUCCAUGUAGAAGGUAAAAUUGGCAAAAACAUAACAGAUUUGAAAUGUAUCCCAUACAUAAUGGUGUAGGGUAUAAUUUUUGUUUUGAUCACUUUUCAUUCUUUAAAGUAUUAUUUGUUUGACCAUAAAUGUUCCAUAAUCUGUUAAGUUUUUUAAACUGUGAUUUUAAUAAUAUAAACCAUCUAUUUUAACUUCUAUUCUUCUAAACAGCCAAGCUUAGCUAUAUUGAAUUUUUGAACUAAAUUAAUAGUUGUGCUUCAGUUUCUCAAGCCACUUAAUAUUUCAUGUAGUUUAAUAUGUAACUUAAUUUUUGACGUGAGAAAAGGUUAGGUGUGUACCAUUUGGAUUUUGAUACUGUGAAUUUAGUGUUGGGGUGAGUCAUUUGUUCACUUCCUUUUACAUGAUACUUUUUUCUUCAACUCUUGUUCCUAAAAUAUCUUGCACAGUCUUUCAAUUGUAAAUUCAGCCAGUGGAAGGAGAUAGAGAAGAAAAAGCCAGUUUAUUGGAAUGUUGCUAGUGUGUGGAAGAUGAGGUGUUCUUGUGUGUAGCAUUUGAGGUGUAUUGACUUCCAGCUUUCUCACUGCUGGGCUUACAGGCAUGCUAUUUUUGUGCUAAGCAUAGUGUUUAUUUUUCAACUCUGUCUCAAAACUCAGUAGUUCUUAGGAGAACAGAAAAUAGAUUAUUGGAGGUAUCCUGAUCCAAAAAGAUAACUGGACUUCCUUAGAAAUGUAAUGAACUUGUCCAAAAGGUGUGUUAAAAUGUUUCCUGCUUCCCCCUGCCCCGCCCCUGCCUUAAGAGUCCCUCAAAUUAAAUAGAAUGUGAAGAGCACAAAAAGUUUAAAAAGAAAGCAUAAUAUUCAAAGUAGGAAAAGCAUUUUCAUAUCACUUUCUGCAGCCUAUACUUUAAUAGGACAUGAAAUAAAAUGUCAGGUGGAUAAUCUUCAGUCUAGCAUGAUCGUAAGUCAUCUCUUUAAGUUGUCUAGGCAGACAGGAUCAUUAUUCACUUGCACAGCCUAUCUUGAAAUAUUUAAUCUUUUUAGUAGUGGUAUUUUAUUGGAUGAUGGAAACUGUUUCUCCCCUGUUCUCUUCCAAAGUAAUUUUUAAGUUUUCCAUUGCAUGUUAAAAGCUUUUUAUUUUGCUUUUUUUCUGGAAGUGGGGGGUGGAAGGGAGGACUGGGCUUUUCAGAAAGCAUACAGUUGACAGGAUUCCCUCUUCCCUAGUAAUAGCUUAUAAAACUCUUAUGUAUGCACAAAUAUUUCUCUUGCGUGCAUGUGAAAUGCCUUUUCGUCCUGAGAAAAGUGUUCUCUGCAGAAACUACCCGUGUGUAAAAAGAAGAUUGGCUUUAAAAGGCAACUGUGAUGGGAACAGUGUCUUAGGGAGAUGCAGCUUGGACUUGAGGUAAAUUGAAUGCUUUACAAAAAUGUGGUUUUGAGCUUGCAUUGACAUUGUAUGUAAUAUGGGUACACGUUAACUGUAUAAUGGUUUUUGUAUGGUUUUUCUCAAUAAAUGUAAACUGAUGG